RNAcentral lists this small nucleolar RNA (213 nucleotides) under Amborella trichopoda. Its description in RNAcentral is "snoRNA Plant_U3". It matches the Rfam family "Plant small nucleolar RNA U3". From Rfam's summary of the family: Small nucleolar RNAs (snoRNAs) are involved in the processing and modification of rRNA in the nucleolus. There are two main classes of snoRNAs: the box C/D class, and the box H/ACA class. The record is from Rfam by way of RNAcentral. Lineage: Eukaryota; Viridiplantae; Streptophyta; Magnoliopsida; Amborellales; Amborellaceae.
ACGACCUUACUUGAACAGGAUCUGUUCUACAGGUUGUACAUCCGUUUCCAACGACACAAUGGAGACACGCACAACAAUCUGGAAGAUGAUACAUUGCCACGUGGCCAGAGUGUGAACACUGGAUGCCGGGCCCUGCGGGGCACCCACCAUCCACAGAGGAUCGCUCUCUUAGCCAAUGGCUGAUGAGAUGGCCAUGUGGUAGACUGACAGAUC